AACGGCGAGUGAAGCGGCAAGAGCUCAAAUUUGAAAUCUGGCCUCCCCCGGGGGCCCGAGUUGUAAUUUGCAGAGGAUGCUUCGGGUGCGGCCGCCGUCUAAGUUCCUUGGAACAGGACGUCAGUGAGGGUGUGAAUCCCGUCUUGGGCGGGCGGUCCGCGCCCGUGUGAAGCUCCUUCGACGAGUCGAGUUGUUUGGGAAUGCAGCUCUAAGCGGGUGGUAAAUUUCAUCUAAAGCUAAAUAUUGGCCGGAGACCGAUAGCGCACAAGUAGAGUGAUCGAAAGGUUAAAAGCACCUUGAAAAGGGAGUUAAACAGCACGUGAAAUUGUUGAAAGGGAAGCGCUUGCGGCCAGAYUCGGGGGCGGGGUUCAGCGGGUGCUCGUCGCCCGUGUAUUCCUCGUCUCCCGGGCCAGCAUCAGUUUCGACGGCCGGUCAAAGGCCCCCGGAAUGUGUCGUCUCUCGGGACGUCUUAUAGCCGGGGGUGCAAUGCGGCCCGUCGGGACUGAGGAACGCGCUCCGGCUCGGAUGCUGGCGUAAUGGCCGUAAGCGGCCCGUCUUGAAACACGGACCAAGGAGUCUAACAUCCACGCGAGUGUUCGGGUGUCAAACCCGUGCGCGCAGUGAAAGCGAACGGAGGUGGGAGCCCUAGGGCGCACCAUCGACCGAUCCUGAAGUCUUCGGAUGGAUUUGAGUAGGAGCGUGGCCGUUGGGACCCGAAAGAUGGUGAACUAUGCCUGAAUAGGGUGAAGCCAGAGGAAACUCUGGUGGAGGCUCGCAGCGGUUCUGACGUGCAAAUCGAUCGUCAAAUUU
RNAcentral lists this ribosomal RNA (810 nucleotides) under Trichophyton sp. CBS 124411. RNAcentral's name for it is "eukaryotic LSU rRNA". It matches the Rfam family "Eukaryotic large subunit ribosomal RNA", at positions 85 to 912 of the family's 3401-position model. Lineage: Eukaryota; Fungi; Ascomycota; Eurotiomycetes; Onygenales; Arthrodermataceae. The record is from RNAcentral.